Molecule: ribosomal RNA, 440 nt
Filed under: Cylindrostethus palmaris
Lineage: Eukaryota; Metazoa; Arthropoda; Insecta; Hemiptera; Gerridae
Description: partial 16S ribosomal RNA
Source: RNAcentral
CGUUUUUUGAAUAUAAUUUAAGAUUAGUCCUGCCCGUUGAUUUUGAAGAAUUGAAAGGCUGCGGUAUUUUAACUGUACGAAGGUAGCAUAAUCAUUUGUCUUUUAAUUGAAGGCUAGUAUGAAUGGUUUCAUGAAAAAUAAACUUUCUUUUUUUGAUAUAUUGAAUUUAAUUUUUUAGUUAAAAAGCUAAAAUCUUUUUAUGGGACGAGAAGACCCUAUAGAAAUUUACUUUAUUUAUAAUUUUUUGUUUUUUGUUUUUGUUAUGAAAUUUUAGAAUAUAAAGUUUUGUUGGGGUGACAUUAAAAUUAAUUUAACUUUUAUUAAUUUUUUCAUUUAUUUAUGUUUUUUUUGAUCCAGAAUUUUUGAUUAUUAGAUUAAUUUACCUUAGGGAUAACAGCGUAAUUUUUUUGGAGAGUUCAUAUUGAUAAAAAAGUUUGCGA